GAUGAAGAACGUAGCGAAAUGCGAUACUUGGUGUGAAUUGCAGAAUCCCGUGAACCAUCGAGUCUUUGAACGCAAGUUGCGCCCGAAGCCAUUAGGCCGAGGGCACGCCUGCCUGGGCGUCACACGUCGUUGCCCCCCCAUCUACUCCUUCGGGAUUGCGGGGGCGGAUGAUGGCCUCCCGUGCGCCUCGUCGCGCGGUUGGCCUAAAUGCCAAGUCCUCGGCGACGCACGCCACGACAAUCGGUGGUUGCGAAACCUCGGUUGCCUGUCGUGUGCGGUCGUCGCGCAUCGAGGGCUAGAAAAAAUUGCCGGGCUUCGGCUCGACUUUCAACGCGACCCCAGGUCAGGCGGGGUUACCCGCUGAAUUUAAGCAUAUCAAUAAGCGGAGGA
RNAcentral lists this unclassified non-coding RNA (390 nucleotides) under soil metagenome. Its description in RNAcentral is "partial contains 5.8S ribosomal RNA, internal transcribed spacer 2, and large subunit ribosomal RNA". The stretch from base 1 to 122 matches the Rfam family "5.8S ribosomal RNA", at positions 35 to 154 of the family's 154-position model. The record is from RNAcentral.